GACGUAGGGUGCGAGCGUUGUCCGGAUUUAUUGGGCGUAAAGAGCUCGUAGGCGGCUCGUCGCGUCGACCGUGAAAACCCGCGGCUUAACUGCGGGCUUGCGGUUGAUACGGGCGGGCUAGAGUUCGGUAGGGGAGACUGGAAUUCCUGGUGUAGCGGUGAAAUGCGCAGAUAUCGGGAAGAACACCUAUGGCGAAGGCAGCUCUCUGGGACGGUACUGACGCUGAGACGCGAAAGCGUGGGGAGCGAACAGG
Molecule: ribosomal RNA, 253 nt
Filed under: uncultured bacterium
Lineage: Bacteria
Description: partial 16S ribosomal RNA
Rfam family: Bacterial small subunit ribosomal RNA
Source: RNAcentral